Molecule: ribosomal RNA, 448 nt
Filed under: uncultured bacterium
Lineage: Bacteria
Description: bacterial SSU rRNA
Rfam family: Bacterial small subunit ribosomal RNA
Source: RNAcentral
UGCCAGACUCCUACGGGAGGCAGCAGUGGGGAAUAUUGCACAAUGGGGGAAACCCUGAUGCAGCAACGCCGCGUGAGUGAAGAAGUAUUUCGGUAUGUAAAGCUCUAUCAGCAGGGAAGAAAAUGACGGUACCUGAGUAAGAAGCCCCGGCUAACUACGUGCCAGCAGCCGCGGUAAUACGUAGGGGGCAAGCGUUAUCCGGAUUUACUGGGUGUAAAGGGAGCGUAGACGGCGAUACAAGUCUGAAGUGAAAGCCCGGGGCUCAACCCCGGGACUGCUUUGGAAACUGUGUUGCUGGAGUGCUGGAGAGGCAAGCGGAAUUCCUAGUGUAGCGGUGAAAUGCGUAGAUAUUAGGAAGAACACCAGUGGCGAAGGCGGCUUGCUGGACAGUAACUGACGUUGAGGCUCGAAAGCGUGGGGAGCAAACAGGAUUAGAUACCCGAGUAGG